GGUGAUCAAAGUAGGCCUGAAAAUUUUGCUCGGUUUUCACAACGGUCAUUUUGCCACCAUACCGAAGAAGCCGUGGCCGAAUUGAAAAAAUGCUCGUCACGGAUUCAAAGGUGCUAGCGGUCUUCUCCAGAAAUGUACCAGAAAUGGCACCAGAGCGCUUUCACAGAAGCGUUCUUCGCGGGAGUUUGGUUUUGAUUGGAACAGCCUUUGGUUUAAACAUUGCACUUAACCAGCCUUCCAUGUAGGUGCUCCAUUAUUGCCUCUAGCCCCAGGUCACCAAAGCACUGGGUCGGGUGGAAUUCCAGUACCCGGACUGAAGGAGAAGGUAGGAGAUACGAGAUGGUAGGAGAUAAGAGCGUCCAGGCAGAUUGUGCGUUUUCAAUUUUUGCGAAAAAUUGUGCGUUUUCAAGUGUAAUGUUCGUG
Long non-coding RNA from Uranotaenia lowii, 423 nucleotides. RefSeq lists it as uncharacterized. The transcript has 3 exons. NCBI's taxonomy places the organism in Eukaryota, Metazoa, Arthropoda, Insecta, Diptera, Culicidae. The record is from RefSeq and is a predicted model, not a curated record.